This is a long non-coding RNA of Sander lucioperca (pikeperch), 241 nucleotides long. RefSeq lists it as uncharacterized. NCBI's taxonomy places the organism in Eukaryota, Metazoa, Chordata, Actinopteri, Perciformes, Percidae. The record is from RefSeq and is a predicted model, not a curated record. The transcript has 3 exons.
CGACGCGGCCCCUGUAUGAGCAGCAUACAAGCACUCACCUAGCUGAGAAGCUGCAGGAGGUCGUGGCAGAGUGGAAACUAGAAAGGUAUGCCUGUCGCACUUAAUAGCGAGAAUAAUUUCUUUUAACUUUUAGUGGGGGAAGGUCUCACCUAAGUAGAAUUUUUUUGUUUGUUAUUAUUCUAUGUAAUUUGCACUUUCAUAAAUAAGAGAUGCUGUAUUUCCAGAAAAAGAAAGCUCCAAG